UACGUAGGGGGCAAGCGUUGUCCGGAUUUAUUGGGCGUAAAGAGCGUGUAGGCGGCCUGACAGGUCUGCUGUGAAAACUCGAGGCUCAACCUCGAGAUGUCGGCGGAAACCGUCUGGCUAGAGUCCGGAAGAGGAGAGUGGAAUUCCUGGUGUAGCGGCGAAAUGCGCAGAUAUCAGGAAGAACACCUAUGGCGAAGGCAGCUCUCUGGGACGGUACUGACGCUGAGACGCGAAAGCGUGGGGAGCGAACAGG
This 253-nucleotide ribosomal RNA is filed under the name uncultured bacterium. RNAcentral's name for it is "partial 16S ribosomal RNA". It matches the Rfam family "Bacterial small subunit ribosomal RNA", at positions 524 to 776 of the family's 1533-position model. The record is from RNAcentral.